UGGGGAAUAUUGCACAAUGGAGGGAACUCUGAUGCAGCGACGCCGCGUGAACGAAGAAGGCUUUCGAGUCGUAAAGUUCUUUUAUAUGGGAAGAUAAUGACGGUACCAUAAGAAAAAGCCCCGGCUAACUACGUGCCAGCAGCCGCGGUAAUACGUAGGGGGCUAGCGUUGUCCGGAAUCACUGGGCGUAAAGGGUUCGCAGGCGGAAAUGCAAGUCAGGUGUAAAAGGCAGUAGCUUAACUACUGUAAGCAUUUGAAACUGCAUAUCUUGAGAAGAGGAGAGGUAAGUGGAAUUUUUAGUGUAGCGGUGAAAUGCGUAGAUAUUAAAAAGAACACCGGUGGCGAAGGCGACUUACUGGGCUCAUUCUGACGCUGAGGAACGAAAGCGUGGGUAGCAAACAGG
RNAcentral lists this ribosomal RNA (403 nucleotides) under Fusobacteriota bacterium. RNAcentral describes it as "Fusobacteria bacterium partial 16S ribosomal RNA". It matches the Rfam family "Bacterial small subunit ribosomal RNA", at positions 355 to 776 of the family's 1533-position model. Lineage: Bacteria; Fusobacteriati; Fusobacteriota. The record is from RNAcentral.